This 468-nucleotide ribosomal RNA is filed under the name uncultured bacterium. Its description in RNAcentral is "partial 16S ribosomal RNA". It matches the Rfam family "Bacterial small subunit ribosomal RNA", at positions 28 to 507 of the family's 1533-position model. The record is from RNAcentral.
GACGAACGCUGGCGGCGUGCUUAACACAUGCAAGUCGAACGGAAAGGCCCUGCUUUUGUGGGGUGCUCGAGUGGCGAACGGGUGAGUAACACGUGAGUAACCUGCCCUUUACUUUGGGAUAACUUCAGGAAACUGGGGCUAAUACCGGAUCGGAGCUCCUGCUGCAUGGUGGGGGUUGGAAAGUUUCGGCGGUUGGGGAUGGACUCGCGGCUUAUCAGCUUGUUGUUGGGGUAGUGGCUUACCAAGGCUUUGACGGGUAGCCGGCCUGAGAGGGUGACCGGCCACAUUGGGACUGAGAUACGGCCCAGACUCCUACGGGAGGCAGCAGUGGGGAAUAUUGCACAAUGGGCGGAAGCCUGAUGCAGAAACGCCGCGUGCGGGAUGACGGCCUUCGGGUUGUAAACCGCUUUCGCCUGUGACGAAGCGUGAGUGACGGUAAUGGGUAAAGAAGCACCGGCUAACUACGUG